AUGCACAAAUUUUGUAGGGCACGGCUGGGAGAUGAACAUGGGUCUGCUUCUGUGUAUCGUGUCAGCGCACUGGAGAAGGCAAUUGCAGGGUUCGAGCAGAGGGAAACUGAGGCCGUGGUCAAUCCAACCGUGGGGACUGUCUUUGUUUCUCUUGACGAGGCCUAUGAGUUCUACAACAUUUAUUCCUGGGAAUCUGGAUUCGGAGUCACCUAUGGACCGAGUAGUGUGGAUUCUCAUGGAACCAAAUGCAUACAGCAAUUUGUUUGCGCGUGUGAGGGGAAACCAAGCAAGGACAGCAACUCAUUUCGUCGGUGUGAAUGCACGGCAGCGAUUCUUUUGUUGAGAUCCAGAGACGGCGGAUGGUGUGUGUGCGAACAUCAAGUGGGGCAUAACCAUCCACUUUGUAAGACGUGUGCGCAGAGGUCAUCCUGGGAGUCUCACAGCAGUAUCGACAAGAACACAAGGGACUUGAUUCGCCAACUAAGGGAAAACAAUGUGCCACACAUUGCUGAUAAUGAAGCAAAGGAUCUGCUGUCUGAGGAUCUCAGAAAGACCGUGGAAACCUUCGCUAGGAUCAAAGCAAAGGAUCCAACAUUUGAAUAUUCUGGCUUGCAGGUUGAUAGUAACUGUAGAGUAAGGCCACUACUCUGGACCAGUGGCCAGAGCGUUCAGUACCAAUACUUUGGUGAUGUGAUUAUCUUCGACACAACCUACAGAUCGGACGUGUAUGGAAUGCCGUUCGGCCUUUUUGUUGGAGUCAACAACAACUUCGAGACCAUAGUGCUUGGUGGGGUGCUGAUGAUAAACGAGAAAACGGAGAGCUUCAAAUGGGUGUUGAGUCAGUUCUUCCAAUUAAUGGGUGGGAAACACCCCCAAACUAUACUGACCGACCGCUGCGAGGCAAUUGAGGAAGCUGUGUUGGAGGUACUGCCAUCCACCACACACAGAUGGUUCAAGUGGCAUGUCCUUGGAAGGGCAAAGGAGUACCUCGGUUUUCAUUACACCAAAACUAGUAGCUUCCGGGUGGAGCUCCACAGAAUUCUGACCGACACGCUGACGACUGAUGAGUUUGAGAGAGCAUGGGAGAUGCUGCUAGAGAAGCAUGGAUUGGAGAACCACCCAUUUCUGCAGGAGAUCUAUGAGGUUCGGCAUAAGUGGGUUAAGGCAUACUUCAGUGACACAUUCUGUGCUACACUGACUAGCACACAAAAGAGCGAGAGCGCGAAACACUUACUGAAACAACACGUUCCACGGGAUUGCUCAAUGGAGCUUUUCGUUCAACAGUACGUGGAACCGCGGUGCGAUCAAGAACCGGACUAUGGGUUUGAGGAUAAGCCGACUACUAUGGAUGAGAUUGUUCUGAGAACAAAUCUGCCAAUCGAGAAGCACGCCAGCGAGGUGUACACAAGACCAGUGUACGAACUGUUUGUGCAAGCCAUACGCGAAUCUGAAUCUUACAUGGUGGAGGCAGUCAUCCCCAACUUGAAGUACAUAGCACGGCAUCCCAGCAGUGAAACCAGGGAGAAAUGGUCUAGGGUGGAAUAUGAGGUCAAUGUUAGAGAAGACGGUGAGGCAUUCAUGUGCGUGUGCAAGCAAUUUGAGCACACGGGGAUGCUCUGCUGCCAUGCCGUCAAGGUGAUGAUCCACUUGGGGGUGCGUGAGAUACCAAGGCUACACGUCAUGCCACGCUGGACAACAAAGCCGCUGCAGUGCCAGAUGCACUGCCGCGGUGAACCGCAGGAUGACACGUGCCAGCAAUGCAGGCACUCGGUGCUGCAUGAUAAGCUCUUUGGCCUAGCGCGCCGCGCCUGUAAGGAUGAACGGUAUUAUGAGGUCCUCAUGAGCGGCCUCGACAGAAUGGAGCGAGGCAUGGCCGCGGCAGAGGCAGCACCCCCACCCCGCCGCGCCAAGCCGGCAUCACGGAAGUCAAGGAGGAGGAAGCGUUGA
Molecule: ribosomal RNA, 1947 nt
Filed under: Triticum aestivum (bread wheat)
Lineage: Eukaryota; Viridiplantae; Streptophyta; Magnoliopsida; Poales; Poaceae
Description: partial small subunit ribosomal RNA
Source: RNAcentral